GGGAUCUGUUCGGUUUGAGUGCGGGGAGACUGAUGACGUGGCGUCCAUCCAAUAGGAUGGAAUAUUUAAUCUGAACCAAGUUGGACUUUUGCUUCUGUUAUGGAAGGCCCGCCCAACCUCAGAGAGAGAGAGAAUAGGAAGGAAAACGGCCGGUCUUCUUCAAGGUUCGGGGAGGCCCUGGCUAAUUCAGGUCCGACCCACUCGGAUUGCCUGUUUCGGAUAGGUUAGGGAUGCGGCCUGGGCCAACUCGGCCCACCUCCAGCACUAGUGGAGGAUGAGGAGGAGGAG
RNAcentral lists this long non-coding RNA (288 nucleotides) under Phoenix dactylifera (date palm). RNAcentral describes it as "long non-coding RNA (PDAC_LNC018790)". The record is from RNAcentral. Lineage: Eukaryota; Viridiplantae; Streptophyta; Magnoliopsida; Arecales; Arecaceae.